CGGAGGGUGCAAGCGUUGUCCGGAUUUAUUGGGUUUAAAGGGUGCGUAGGCGGCCCUGUAAGUCAGUGGUGAAAGCCUCCAGCUCAACUGGAGAACUGCCAUUGAUACUGCAGGGCUUGAGUACAGACGAGGUUGGCGGAAUUGAUUGUGUAGCGGUGAAAUGCAUAGAUACAAUCAAGAACUCCGAUUGCGUAGGCAGCUAACUAGGCUGUAACUGACGCUGAGGCACGAAAGCGUGGGGAGCGAACAGGAUUAGAUACCCUGGUAGUCCACGCUGUAAACGAUGAUUACUCGAUGUCGGCGAUAAACAGUCGGCGUCUUAGCGAAAGCGUUAAGUAAUCCACCUGGGGAGUACGCCCGCAAGGGUG
Molecule: ribosomal RNA, 368 nt
Filed under: uncultured organism
Description: bacterial SSU rRNA
Rfam family: Bacterial small subunit ribosomal RNA
Source: RNAcentral